This 253-nucleotide ribosomal RNA is filed under the name uncultured bacterium. RNAcentral describes it as "partial 16S ribosomal RNA". It matches the Rfam family "Bacterial small subunit ribosomal RNA", at positions 524 to 776 of the family's 1533-position model. The record is from RNAcentral.
UACGUAGGGCGCAAGCGUUAUCCGGAAUUAUUGGGCGUAAAGAGCUCGUAGGCGGUUUGUCGCGUCUGCUGUGAAAACUGGAGGCUCAACCUCCAGCCUGCAGUGGGUACGGGCAGACUAGAGUGCGGUAGGGGAGAUUGGAAUUCCUGGUGUAGCGGUGGAAUGCGCAGAUAUCAGGAGGAACACCAAUGGCGAAGGCAGAUCUCUGGGCCGUAACUGACGCUGAGGAGCGAAAGCAUGGGGAGCGAACAGG